UUACGCUGUAUUCCCUAAGGGUACUUAAUCUAAUAAUUACUAAUAAUGGAUCUAAUAUUCAUAUAUCAAUGUUUAAUAAAUAAAAAAGUUAUUUAUAUAUUUUUGUCACCCCAACAAAAUAAAAGUUUAUUAUAAUUAUAUUAAUAUAUAAAUAAUUAAAUAAAUUAUAUAAAGAUCUAUAGGGUCUUGUCGUCUUCCAACAAAAUUUUAGCUUUUUAACUAAAAAAUUAAAUUUUAAAACAAAUAAAAUGAGACAGUCAAUUCCUCGUUAAACCUUUCAUUCCAGCCCUCUAUUAAAAGACUAAUGAUUAUGCUACCUUUGCACGGUCAGUAUACCGCGGCCGUUAAAUCUUAAUCACUGGGCAGGUCAGACCUUAAAUCUAACUCAAAAGGACAUGUUUUUGUUAAACAGGCG
RNAcentral lists this ribosomal RNA (415 nucleotides) under Pachydiplax longipennis. Its description in RNAcentral is "partial 16S ribosomal RNA". The record is from RNAcentral. Lineage: Eukaryota; Metazoa; Arthropoda; Insecta; Odonata; Libellulidae.